CCCCAGAGAUGUUGGCGCCAGCCAGAAUGCCUGUGGCAGCAGGGAAGAAGAUGGCGAACACCGAGAAGAACGACUCUCCAUCCCGAAAGUUAGGCCCCAAGUUUUCAGAAAAUAUAGACACUGUAGGAUGAGCAAGGUGGUCAAGUCAGCCCUGUCUGUGUUCUACUCACACUGGUAAUUGAAGAAACCCUGGGAUUUCUUGGUCUCUGUGGCAGGGAUGAAGGUUCCCACGAAUACGUUGACAAUGGCAACCAGGAGGAUGGCCAGCAGGACAAGCUGAGCCUAGAGCAAGACCACAUCGCACCGCAUGUGUCAUUACAUCAUCAUGCUUUUGCGAAACAGUCCCAGUCAUUAGCGUCUGGUAUAUUGAGGCAUGCGUUGUUACAUCAUUACUCUCCUGUUAUAUUCUCCCAGUCAUAACAGUCCCGUACAUACCAUGCCCAUUUCAAACUGUAUUUGGGUUGGCAGCUGUUCAAUUGUUGAUCAUUUUGGGCAUAUUCUUUGAUGGAUAAUCACUGCAGACCUUGUGUAGCCUUGUAAGGGGGAGGAAGGGGAGGGGUCAGCGGAGGAGGUCUGUAAUGUACAGCACGUAUUCCCUCACCUUGGCUUCCCACUCCAUACCAGCCACCGAUAUCCCCAGGAGCAGCACCACUGUGAUGCAGCCCACGAUCCUGAUGUCAUUCACCAUAUCCACCAUGAUGGCAUUGUGCUCCUGUAAAACAUCAUACCACACCAUACUGAGGAGGGGCCUCCAGAAGGGGAGGACCACCACUCAGGCUUUCCAUGGGACCAUUGGGCCAGUUAGGUCACUCACCGACACCAGCUUGACCGAACACCCAGGAGAGACGGAUGAACAGCAUCACUCCCCAGAUGUUCAGCAUGCAUCUCACCUGCAAAGGUAAAGUCAAGGUGAGACUGCAGCCGUAGCACAGCAGCAGUCACGCACACACACACACAAUAAAUACAUACACACAGAGUCACAUGACGAAAGACAAAGGAGGCCUGAAAUGCUAAUACUAAUGUAUCUGGGAAGGUUAAGGUGUAAUAUCCACGGUACAGGUAUAAUAUGCAAGUUAAAGGUGUGUAAGGUAAAGGAGUAAUGCGCAAGGUAAAGGUGUAAUGUAAAAGUUGAAGGUGUAAUACGCAAGUUGAAGGUGUAAUGUGUAAGGUAAUGGUGUAAUGUGUAAUAUGUAAGGCUCUAUCAGGUGUGCACAAAUGUGCGUGUGUGUGUGUGCAAGUGCUCACCAGCACGCCCUUGAUCCAGCCAAAUCUGACCCCUCCGCUUUUUUCUGGGGGAGAGAAGGACUCCAUGUCUUCAGAAGGUGUCCUGUCACUCCCUUCUAUUCUGUCCAUGGUGUCCAUGCCAUCAUUCUGCAAUGAGAAACAACAAGCUAAUGUCAUCCUGGAUGCGCUAGGAUGCCAAAAAAUAAGAAAACACUUUAUUAGUCUUCAUUUAUUCAUAUGAUGUAUUUGCUUUAUUCAGUUUAUACAGCAAGAUUGUUUCUACUAAUUUCCAGUAAGUUUCAGGUCAUUCCUGACGAGGGUGGGCGCAGAGACUUAACUGUGGAACCCCCAGUCUAGAAGCCCACUGUUAUGAGGACUACACUGCUACACCACUUCAAGCCUUUACCACGGCCUCUAUGCAAAACAUCAUACCAUGACCACGAUGCUCCACUUCAAUACAUCAUGCUAUAGCCACUACAGUGCACAAUAUGGCUUUCGUUUUAAGUGACAAUGGGUUUAGGACAAAUAAAAGUAUGGGGACAUUGAAUUAUGGAGGGAAAAAUUCUGUUCUUUUCCUCUUGAAAAAUGAUAUUUGGCACCAAAUGAAAACAGAGGCUAGAACAUACUCUUCUGAGGAAAAAGGAUACAGUGUAUUUCCUCUAUGAAGUUCUGUCCUUAACAUUUGUGUGCAGCCACAUACACUCAAUGCAAUUCACAUUUCUGCAGGUGGUCCCCCUUUCUAACGUUUCUAAAUGAGAGCUGAUUCCACCUCACUACCCACCCCAUAUUUAACCAAUGAAAUGCUUUAACCACAAAGCCAGUAUCUUAACCACACUGUAAUACAAUGCACACUGCCCUGCCCUGUGUUGGCUUGCUUGCCAUUCCCCUGCUACCAGUUCUGUAUUGUGUUGUUACUCUCACAACAAAAAAAAAAAAAACAUUUUUAAAUGUUAAAAUUUUUAAAGUAUCUGUAGGCAAAUAUUGAAUGUUUAGACUGCAAACAAGCAGGAACAGACCCUGCGUCUCAGUGGACCGUUCUUCUCUGAUUGCUAUAGGCUAUUGCAUUAACUGCUCUCAUUUAUGGGGAAAUAAAAUCAGAAGAUUGAUGGAUUUUCUGUGGGGAAUAAUGACUGAUAAAGUGUGUGUACAUGUUUGGGCAUGCGGUUGUCUCCCCUGUUUCUGGCCUAACUGUGUGCUACUGAUACCUGCCACCGGACGGUGCCUGCAUUUCAUGAGUGUGGGUUCCUUUUACAGUGCCAAAGAGUGAAUAUACUGCUACUCAUGCAGUGAUGUGCUUAUGUGAGCAUUUGUCUGACUCAGCAUUUCCUCAUGCUUGCAGUCAGCACCCUCUCUGGAAUUUGCCAAAAAAAUGACCUGCAUAAAUCUUUGAAAUUAAGAAAUAAAAAUAAAGAAUAAGCCUGACUGUGUG
Long non-coding RNA from Anguilla rostrata (American eel), 2653 nucleotides. RefSeq lists it as uncharacterized. Lineage: Eukaryota; Metazoa; Chordata; Actinopteri; Anguilliformes; Anguillidae. The transcript is spliced from 3 exons. The record is from RefSeq and is a predicted model, not a curated record.